This 65-nucleotide transfer RNA is filed under the name Geloina coaxans. Its description in RNAcentral is "tRNA-Ile". The record is from RNAcentral. Lineage: Eukaryota; Metazoa; Mollusca; Bivalvia; Venerida; Cyrenidae.
AAUGUUGUGCCAGAUGAAUUGGGUUACCUUGAUGGGGUAAAAUAUGAAUUUUAUUUCCAAUAUUA